This 705-nucleotide long non-coding RNA is filed under the name Pollicipes pollicipes. Its description in RNAcentral is "uncharacterized LOC119092914". Lineage: Eukaryota; Metazoa; Arthropoda; Thecostraca; Pollicipedomorpha; Pollicipedidae. The record is from RNAcentral.
CGCCGCCAGCGUCAGCAGCUGGGCCGACACGGACAGCGCGACGGCUACGGAGCAGACGGCCGAGCCGGACGCCGGCUCGCUGGAGUUCAGCUUCACGCCGUCGGUGAUGGAGUCGCUGGAGGAGGCCAGCGGCGACACGCUCUCCAUCGGCUCCGACCUCAGCAGCAUGUCAUCUGGCAGCCAGCCGUCGCGACACGUGCGCUUCAAUGAGACCGUGCGGGUUCGCCAGCACAACCGACCUGCUGAGGCGCCCACUAGCGACGCCAAGCGGCGCAAACGCUAAACAGACGCGCUCCGACCGGCCAAGAUAUUAAUCCAGCGCGCGUGGAGUAACGCGCCGUGCAUGGCAAGUCGAGGACGUCGGGUAGUUUAAUGGCGCCUCGGCCGUGUACUUAAAUAGUCGUGUGUUUAGUUGUGAAGUGGACCAGGGAAUACAGGCCCCGUGAAUGUGUCGCUGACCUGGGCCGAGUGCGACGCCGCAGAGUGAGGACCGCUUCCGGUUGUGAUGGCGGACCGCUGAGUUUAUCCGCCUUCGCCUGCCGCCUCUUGCCCUUCUGUCUUUCUGUCCCGCCCGCUUCCCGCUUCCUGUUCUGUUCAGCUGUGUUCAAUGGUGGCAUUAUGGUGAGCUUGCUUGCUCCACACGGGCUGUGUGCCUUCCCUUGCCUCUGUGCGCUGACCAGACCGAAAUACACACAUACGAGUUUC